GCGCGCGUGCGGCCACCCAGCGCACCGGCCAGCGCGGCCGUGCGGCCACCUGAGGCCGGCCCCCGCAGCCCAGGCGGCCUCCUCUCCUCUCCUUUGCGGACCGGCCGUCGACAGCCCUCCUCCUCCCAUGCGCCAGACAGCGGGGCGGACAUGUGUAUGAAGGCCAGAGUCAAAUGAAGAAAGGAUUUUGAAAGAAGAACUCAGUCUUCUCGAGAAAAUGAAAGAGACUGAGGCUAAUAAAACUGAUGAUUCGGACCAAACUGCCCCUGAGGAUGCAAAAGAUUUGUCUCAGAAGAUAGCUCAGAUGGAAAAGCAGCUUGAGUUGCUUACUAUUGAGGUGGAUGACAAAGUUAGAUUUGGGACCUGGUUCUGGAGUUGGCAGGGUUUCAACAGUUCCACCAGCUUGAAUAAAUUAUGUGGGGAACUAUAUAACUUUUGAUGUAAUUUAAGACAUGUAUGGUUUGGUCCGAUAAAAAUUAGUAAACUACUACCUUUUAUGUGGACUUUUUAUGUGUGGACUUACUACUACUUUAAAUGAUGAUCUUGUUAUGUGUGGA
Molecule: long non-coding RNA, 557 nt
Organism: Oryza brachyantha (malo sina)
Lineage: Eukaryota; Viridiplantae; Streptophyta; Magnoliopsida; Poales; Poaceae
Exons: 2
Source: RefSeq, a predicted model, not a curated record